CCUACGGGUGGAAGAAGGGGGGAAUAUGGGACAAUGGGCGAAAGCCUGAUCCAGCCAUGCCGCGUGUGUGAAGAAGGCCUUCGGGUUGUAAAGCACUUUCAGUGGGGAAGAAAGCCUUGGGGCUAAUACCCUCGAGGAAGGACAUCACCCACAGAAGAAGCACCGGCUAACUCCGUGCCAGCAGCCGCGGUAAUACGGAGGGUGCGAGCGUUAAUCGGAAUUACUGGGCGUAAAGCGCGCGUAGGCGGUCUGAUAAGCCGGUUGUGAAAGCCCCGGGCUCAACCUGGGAACGGCAUCCGGAACUGUCAGGCUAGAGUGCAGGAGAGGAAGGUAGAAUUCCCGGUGUAGCGGUGAAAUGCGUAGAGAUCGGGAGGAAUACCAGUGGCGAAGGCGGCCUUCUGGACUGACACUGACGCUGAGGUGCGAAAGCGUGGGUAGCAAACAGGAUUAGAUACCCGAGUAGUC
This 465-nucleotide ribosomal RNA is filed under the name Vreelandella stevensii. RNAcentral's name for it is "partial 16S ribosomal RNA". It matches the Rfam family "Bacterial small subunit ribosomal RNA", at positions 338 to 795 of the family's 1533-position model. Lineage: Bacteria; Pseudomonadati; Pseudomonadota; Gammaproteobacteria; Oceanospirillales; Halomonadaceae. The record is from RNAcentral.